UACGUAGGUGGCGAGCGUUGUCCGGAAUUACUGGGUGUAAAGGGCGUGUAGGCGGGAAUGUAAGCCAGAUGUGAAAUCCCAGAGCUUAACUCUGGAGCUGCGUCUGAAACUAUGUAUCUUGAGUGCCGGAGAGGAAAGCGGAAUUCCUAGUGUAGCGGUGAAAUGCGUAGAUAUUAGGAGGAACACCAGUGGCGAAGGCGGCUUUCGGGACGGUAACUGACGCUGAGGCGCGAAAGCGUGGGGAGCAAACAGG
RNAcentral lists this ribosomal RNA (253 nucleotides) under uncultured bacterium. RNAcentral describes it as "partial 16S ribosomal RNA". It matches the Rfam family "Bacterial small subunit ribosomal RNA", at positions 524 to 776 of the family's 1533-position model. The record is from RNAcentral.